UCUCUACAGAUUUCCAGUAUACUUUUAAUAUGUCAAAAAAUGAAGAUAAACAUUUUACAAAAAUUAAUUUUAUGAAUGUUCCUGUCAAGCCGGAUGUAGAUGUUGAGUUAACUAUAAAAUGUUCUGAUAGUGCUCUUAUAAAUAUAACAGUUUCAUCUUUUUCCACGACUGAACGUUUACUUCGUGAAGGUGAAAAAUGCAACAAAUUUAAAGUGCAGUUUUCUCAUGAUGACUAUAUAUUUGGUACAGACAAUACAACUUUUUAUGUUCGUGUAUUUGGAUUUAGUACACCAUUUCUGUUGCAGAUAUCAUUUUCAGAAUAUAGAGCAUUAGAUCUGUUGCAAUUCAUCAUCAUAUUUUCAAGUUGCUUCUUGUCUCUCAUAAUUAUUGCUGCAGUUUUAUGGAAAAUUAAACAAAAAUAUGAUCUUUAUAGAAGAAGACAGCAAUUUGUGGAAAUGGAACAAAUGGCCAGUCAUCCUUUUGCAGAUGCACCUUUGGGGAUAGAAAAGCAUGUUCAAUGUGCAUCUGAUAACAAUGUACUAGACUGAAGAAAGAAAUUAAAAUAGACAAAAGUAUACCUGAAGAAACAUUUGCCUGUACCAAUUUUAAAGAAACUAAAGAUGAUGAUAGAGGGAAUGAUAGCAAAGAUAUCAUGAAUGGAAAGAAUGCUACAACUGGAUCCAAAAUCGACCCAUUACCCCAUAUAGCGUCCUUGCUCUUAUCAGGAUUACUGUUUCCAUUACUGUUAUAAAUUUAACAAAUAUAAUUUAAUUAAAUAUGUAAAGCAAAAUUCAGUAAAAAUUGUUAAUUUUAAUAUUUUAAAUAUAUUAAUAAAGUUAUAUUCUCAAGUAAUUGACUGAUUGAUUUGGCAAUGCAAAGUAAUGAAGCGGAGCGUUAGCGAAAUCUCUUUAUGCGGCUUAUAGGAUCAAUUUCAUUCUUAAUACUUGGUGAAUCGAUUUUGAUUAAACCGCCGUUUUCCAUUAAUUGCGGUGAGGAAUCC
Molecule: unclassified non-coding RNA, 1000 nt
Filed under: Centruroides sculpturatus (bark scorpion)
Lineage: Eukaryota; Metazoa; Arthropoda; Arachnida; Scorpiones; Buthidae
Description: attractin-like protein 1, transcript variant X1
Source: RNAcentral